UCGAGAAUCUUCGGCAAUGGGCGAAAGCCUGACCGAGCGACGCCGCGUGGAGGAAGAAGGCCCUCGGGUUGUAAACUCCUGUUGGGGGGAAACACUUCGAGUGAACCCCUGAGGAAGCACGGGCUAAGUUCGUGCCAGCAGCCGCGGUAAGACGAACCGUGCAAACGUUAUUCGGAAUCACUGGGCUUAAAGCGCACGUAGGCGGUCUCGUAAGUUGGAAGUGAAAUCCCAUCGGCUCAACCGUGGAACUGCUCCCAAUACUGCGGGACUUGAGUGAGAUAGGGGCAUGUGGAACUUCCGGUGGAGCGGUGAUAUGUGUUGAGAUCGGAAGGAACGCCGGUGGCGAAAGCGACAUGCUGGGUCUUUUCUGACGCUGAGGUGCGAAAGCUAGGGGAGCGAACGGGAUUAGAUACCCCCGUAGUCC
This 424-nucleotide ribosomal RNA is filed under the name uncultured prokaryote. RNAcentral's name for it is "bacterial SSU rRNA". It matches the Rfam family "Bacterial small subunit ribosomal RNA", at positions 355 to 796 of the family's 1533-position model. The record is from RNAcentral.